RNAcentral lists this ribosomal RNA (585 nucleotides) under uncultured bacterium. RNAcentral's name for it is "bacterial SSU rRNA". It matches the Rfam family "Bacterial small subunit ribosomal RNA", at positions 338 to 915 of the family's 1533-position model. The record is from RNAcentral.
CCUACGGGAGGCAGCAGCUAAGAAUCUUCCGCAAUGGGCGCAAGCCUGACGGAGCGACGCCGCGUGGACGAUGAAGGCCGUAAGGUUGUAAAGUCCUUUUCUCUGUGAGGAAUGAGUGUGGGAGUGGAAAGCCCACAUGAUGACGGUAACGGAGGAAUAAGCACCGGCUAACUACGUGCCAGCAGCCGCGGUAAUACGUAGGGUGCGAGCGUUGUUCGGAGUUAUUGGGCGUAAAGGGCGUGUAGGCGGCUUGAGAAGUCUGGUUUGAAAUGCACUGGCUCAACUGGUGCGCUGGGUCAGAAACUGGCAGGCUUGAGUUCAUGGGGAGGAGCUGGAAUUCCAGGUGUAGGGGUGAAAUCUGUAGAGAUCUGGAAGAACACCGGUAGCGAAGGCGGGCUCCUAUGGAUGGACUGACGCUGAGGCGCGAAAGCGUGGGGAGCAAACAGGAUUAGAUACCCUGGUAGUCCACGCUGUAAACGAUGUGCACUAGGUAUGGGGUACGAGAUGUAUUCCGUGUCGGAGCGAACGCGUUAAGUGCACCGCCUGGGGAGUAUGCUCGCAAGGGUGAAACUCAAAGGAAUGACG